Non-coding RNA from Benincasa hispida (wax gourd), 1247 nucleotides. Lineage: Eukaryota; Viridiplantae; Streptophyta; Magnoliopsida; Cucurbitales; Cucurbitaceae. The record is from RefSeq and is a predicted model, not a curated record.
AAACACAUUUAAAUGGAAAAAUGAGUUUUUCCAUUAUCUAUCACUUAAUUAGCUCACUCAUGAAGCAACUAUUUUGCCUUGUCUUCUCCAAGCAUGAGCUGCAACUCAUGCAUCUCUUCUCUUUGCAUGUUGAUCUGCAAUAUAGUGAGAAGAUUGGAGUGAAAAUCGGGCAUGCAAUCUACAGAAUUUUGAGAGAAAAUUCAGUUUGAAGAAAUGUUCUUCAACAAAGGUUGCUUGCAGUGAGCUAUUCUCCUUCAUCCUUUGAUUUAAGCUUGUUUUGAGUCCCACAACUCAAUCUAGAGCACCAAAAGAAUAGUGGGGAAGAUCUUGAGAUGGUCUACAACAAGAUAUGGAGAAGAUUGCAGCUGGAGAUGGAGCUUUGAAGAAGUUCUUCAAGAGAGCUCACACCUCCUGGAUUUUCACUCCGAGAAUACCAAGGUUACUAAUGGUGGUGUUCGAGAGGUUGCUUGUUUGUGGAGAAGUUUGUUCGUGAUUGACCAGACAAUUGAGUAGACGAUCGUAGCGAUAGCGAGAGGUGCUGGUCCAAGUCUUCACAAGAGUGAGAGAUCUGUGGAAGAAGAGUUCUUCAAAGGUAAGUCUUUCACUCCUUUUGUAUUUAAUUACUAAAGCAUGUUGUAAGUUUGUUAAAGAUGCACAACUAAUUUGUAUGUUUGUGAAUGUUUGUAAUUCUGUUACAAUGAAUUUGAAUCGAUUGUGCUUCCGCUCAUGGAUUCUCUGUGUAACACUCCGUACAUUUUUUUAGUAAUAAUGUAAUUUCAAUAACUUUAUUAUUUGAAAUUUUAGUAAUUGUUAUUAGUUGGAGGGCAUUUUUGAAUUUUUUGACUUAUAGUAUAAGUGCAAGAAUUUAAUGUUGGCGUGAAAUUAUUCAAUUUGAAAUUCAAAUUGAAAAUUAAUGGCAUGAAUUAAUUUUAUUUUGAAACGGAAAGGAAUUUAAUAGUAUAAAACGGAAAGGAAUUAAAUGUAAUUAUAUUUACUUCCUCUUUUGUUUUAUUAUUAUUAUUGUUUUUUUUAUUUAUAAAAAUUCAAACCCCACCCCCUUUUCUUCCUCAUGUUCGUGAGCCCGUCCAACGCUGCCCGAAGUCGCCGUGUCAGUUUCUUCUUCAUGACCUCCGUCCACCACUACUUAAGCAUCAUUCGCUUUUGCCGUCACUGGAUAUAUCGAUUUGGUUUGUGAAGGUAUUGAGGUGUUGUUCAAUGAAGUUGGAGUUUGUUUUAGCGAGUUUUGG